RNAcentral lists this ribosomal RNA (2471 nucleotides) under human gut metagenome. Its description in RNAcentral is "bacterial LSU rRNA". It matches the Rfam family "Bacterial large subunit ribosomal RNA", at positions 1 to 2313 of the family's 2925-position model. The record is from RNAcentral.
GCAAGUUGUUAAGUGCGAUCGGUGGAUGCCUUGGCACCAAGAGCCGAUGAAGGACGUUGUAACCUGCGAUAAGCCCUGGGGAGUUGGUAAACGAGCUGUGAUCCGGGGGUGUCCGAAUGGGGAAACCUGGAAUGUCCGGAGUAGUGUCCGGUGACCCUGCCCUGAAUGUAUAGGGGUGUGGGAGGUAACGCGGGGAAGUGAAACAUCUUAGUACCCGUAGGAAGAGAAAACAACCGUGAUUCCGUGAGUAGUGGCGAGCGAAAGUGGAUGAGGCUAAACCGUGUGUGUGUUCAAGCCGGCAGGUGUUGCAUGUGCGGGGUUGUGGGGGCCUUUUGGUUCUGCUGCCGCAGGAUUGGCCAGUGAUAAAUGUUGCGUGAAGGUGAAGCGUCUGGGAAGGCGUACCGGAGUGGGUGAGAGUCCCGUAACUGUAAGCGUGGCACUGGUGAGGGUUGCCCCAAGUAGCGUGGAACUCGUGGAAUUUCGCGUGAAUCUGGCGGGACCACCCGUCAAGCCUAAAUACUCCUUGGUGACCGAUAGUGGAUUAGUACCGUGAGGGAAUGGUGAAAAGUACCCCGGGAGGGGAGUGAAAUAGUACCUGAAACCGGUCGCAUACAAGCCGUCAGAGCCUUGUGGGGUGAUGGCGUGCCUUUUGAAGAAUGAGCCUGCGAGUUAGUGAUGCGUGGCGAGGUUAACCUGUGUGGGGGAGUCGUAGCGAAAGCGAGUCUGAUAAGGGCGUGAGUCGCGUGUUCUAGACCCGAAGCGGUGUGAUCUAUCCAUGGCCAGGAUGAAGCGUCGGUAAGACGUCGUGGAGGUCCGAACCCACUUCAGUUGAAAAUGGAGGGGAUGAGCUGUGGAUAGGGGUGAAAGGCCAAUCAAACACCGUGAUAGCUGGUUCUCCCCGAAAUGCAUUUAGGUGCAGCGUUGCGUGGUUCUUGUCGGAGGUAGAGCACUGGAUGGUCUAGGGGGCCUAUCAGCUUACCGAAAUCAGCCAAACUCCGAAUGCCGGCAAGUGGAGCGUGGCAGUGAGACGGCGGGGGAUAAGCUUCGUCGUCGAGAGGGAAACAGCCCAGAUCAUCAGCUAAGGCCCCUAAGUGGUAGCUCAGUGGAAAAGGAUGUGGAGUUGCGCAGACAGCCAGGAGGUUGGCUUGGAAGCAGCCAUCCUUGAAAGAGUGCGUAAUAGCUCACUGGUCAAGUGAUUCCGCGCCGACAAUGUAGCGGGGCUUAAGUUAUCCGCCGAAGCUGUGGCAAACCCGUUUUGCGGGUUUGGGUAGGGGAGCGUCCUGUGUGAGGUGAAGCUGCCGGGUGACCGUGUGGUGGAUUGUGCGGGAGUGAGAAUGCAGGCAUGAGUAGCGAAUGACGGGUGAAAAACCCGUCCGCCGAUUAUCCAAGGGUUCCAGGGUCAAGUUAAUCUGCCCUGGGUGAGUCGGGGCCUAAGGCGAGGCCGACAGGCGUAGUCGAUGGAUAACCAGUUGAUAUUCUGGUACCGGCUUGUCACCGUCCGUGUCGAGGUGUGUGAUGCUAAGCGUGCGAGCCUGCCAUUGUGAUGUCUUUGAUGUUGUGGUGGUGUGGUGAGUGUGUGAACCGAUCAUGUAGUAGGCAAGCUGCGGAGGGACGCAGGGAGGUAGCUCAUCCCCGGCGAUGGUUGUCCGGGGCUAAAUGUGUGGACCGUCUGGUAGGUAAAUCCGCUGGGCAUAUGGUUGAGGCAUGAUGGCGAGCCCACGUGUGUGGGUGAGUGAGUGAUCCUGUACUGUCGAGAAAAUCUUCGUGAGCGAGGUGGCUGGUCCGCCCGUACCCUAAACCGACACUGGUGGAUAGGUAGAGUAUACCGAGGCGAUCGAGAUCAUCAUGGUGAAGGAACUCGGCAAAAUGCCCCCGUAACUUCGGGAUAAGGGGGACCUGAACUGUCAAGGCCUGUACGGCUGGUAGCAGUGAGGGGCGCAGAGACCAGGGGGAAACGACUGUUUACCAAAAACACAGGUCCGUGCGAAGUCGUAAGACGAUGUAUACGGACUGACUCCUGCCCGGUGCUGGAAGGUUAAGGGGAACUGUUAGCGUUGGCGAAGCGGUGAACUUAAGCCCCAGUAAACGGCGGUGGUAACUAUAACCAUCCUAAGGUAGCGAAAUUCCUUGUCGGGUAAGUUCCGACCUGCACGAAUGGAGUAACGAUUUCCCUACUGUCUCCACCAUGAACUCGGUGAAAUUGCAGUACGAGUAAAGAUGCUCGUUACGCGCAGCAGGACGGAAAGACCCCGGGACCUUUACUAUAGUUUGGUAUUGGUGAUUGGGACGACUUGUGUAGGAUAGGUGGGAGACUGUGAAGUGGCCACGCUAGUGGUUGUGGAGUCAUUGUUGAAAUACCACUCUGGUCGUUCUGGUUAUCUAACUUUGGGCCGUGAUCCGGUUCAGGGACAGUGCCUGAUGGGUAGUUUGACUGGGGCGGUCGCCUCCUAAAAGGUAACGGAGGCGCCCAA